This 1830-nucleotide long non-coding RNA is filed under the name Salmo salar (Atlantic salmon). Its description in RNAcentral is "lncRNA (ENSSSAG00000097497.1)". The record is from RNAcentral. Lineage: Eukaryota; Metazoa; Chordata; Actinopteri; Salmoniformes; Salmonidae.
CUACAAUGUACAGUGACGUUGCCUAGAUAUGAUGGCAGAGUUUUCUAAACAAAUGCCGACGUAACUUAUACAAAUCAUCAUGAUAUCAUUUUGCCAGGACCUGAGCCCUAGGACCAUGCCUCAGUACUACCUGGUAUGAGGACUCCUUGCUGUCCACCGUCCACCUGGCCGUGCUGCUGCUCCAGUUUAAACUGUUCUGCCUGCGGCUAUGGAACCCUGACCUGUUCACCGGACGUGCUUGUUGCACCCUCGACAACUACUAUGAUUAUUAUUAUUUGACCAUGCUGGUCAUUUGUGAACAUUUUAACAUUUUAACAUCUUGACCAUGUUCUGUUAUAAUAUCCCCCCUGCACAGCCAGAAGAGGACUGGCCACCCCUCAUAGCCUGGUUCCUCUCUAGGUUUCUUCCUAGGUUUUUUGCCUUUCUAGGGAGUUUUUCCUAUGGAGUUUUUCCUAGCCACCGUGCUUCUUUCACAUGCUUUGCUUGCUGUUUGGGGUUUUAGGCUGGGUUUCUGUACAGCACUUUGAGAUAUCAGCUGAUGUACGAAGGGCUAUAUAAAUAAAUUUGAUUUGAUUUGAAUUAGAGUUAAUGUCUAACCUUAAGAAUUUAGAGUUAAUGCAUGAUCUAAACUGUAACCUUAAAAAUGUGGAGUUAAUGCCUGAACUCAACUUUAGAAUAUUCAAAAUGUGACAUUUGGAACAACUUCUAAUUCUAACGUGAGACUGUGAGAGCUGGUAGGAUCUUUCAUGCUGAAACCCUCAUAUUGGACACAAACAGUAUUUAUUAUAUUUUGGAUAAUGUUUUACAGCUUCGUCAUUGUAGUUCUUUUUUAAAAAUUUUUUAAAAAUUAUUGUAUUAAUUUUAUAUACAAUCCUGAAAGUAAAAAAAAAAAAUCUGGUAGUUAAACGAAAGCUAACUGGACUUGAAACACACACACACGCACACAAGCACCCCUGUCUGCAGUAAAGAUUUGUAGCGGGGGGGGCAGGUCUCCUAUAAGAGAGCUUCCUGCCUACCUGCAGUCAGUCGGUGUUUACUAUGGAGCUGAAUGGUUUAUCAGAGAAGAGCCAGAGAAAUGGGCUGGACAACCAGGCCUUCCACUCUCAGGUAAGGGUACACACAUCCUCAUACUCAACAAACACAAUAGAAGCAUACAAUUCUCUAUAUCCACUCACUGUAGACGUAAAUACUAUUCACUUGCUGACCCUUUCUCUCAUUCAAGAUAAUGUACUACUCUGGUGCUGUGUGUGUGCAAUCCUUGGAUGAGUGUGUGGAUGAUUCAAAUUAGGUUUUUCAUACACUCAUGUUCAAUUGUUUACUCUCUCACUUCGUGUAACACUCCAUUCAGUGCCUGAAAUCAAUUACAUUUCAAAGAGAUACACUCUAAUAGGGAAGAGUGGGGGUUUGUUCUCAAACAAUAGAAGAAAUAGCCUGGGUGCCAGUCUGUUGCUCUCUUAUUUUUAACCUUUAUUUAACUAGGCAAGUCAGUUAACAACAAAUUCUUACUUUCAAUGACAGCCUAGGAACGGUGGGUUAACUGCCUUGUUCAGGGGCAGAACGACAACUAUUUACCUUGGGGAUUCAAUCUUGCAACCUUUCGGUUACUAGUCCAACGCUCUAACCACUAGGUUACCUGCUACCUCUUGCGGAACAACAUUUCCAUAAGGAAUUGACAAGAGAGCAGAAACAGACUAAGCGAGAACAACUUCUGCCUAAAAUAUGUGGGUUCUGAAUGUGGACAGAAGGUGAUGUGCUCUCCCCAUCCAAAGUUACUGGACAUCAUCACGAAAUAUCGAAGAAAAACAGUUAAGUUUUUCUUGAACAGAUUAA